This 497-nucleotide ribosomal RNA is filed under the name uncultured bacterium. RNAcentral describes it as "partial 16S ribosomal RNA". It matches the Rfam family "Bacterial small subunit ribosomal RNA", at positions 28 to 507 of the family's 1533-position model. The record is from RNAcentral.
GAUGAACGCUGGCGGCGUGCCUAAUACAUGCAAGUCGAGCGAACGGACGAGAAGCUUGCUUCUCUGAUGUUAGCGGCGGACGGGUGAGUAACACGUGGAUAACCUACCUAUAAGACUGGGAUAACUUCGGGAAACCGUAGCUAAUACCGGAUAAUAUUUUGAACCGCAUGGUUCAAAAGUGAAAGACGGUCUUGCUGUCACUUAUAGAUGGAUCCGCGCCGCAUUAGCUAGUUGGUAAGGUAACGGCUUACCAAGGCAACGAUGCAUAGCCGACCUGAGAGGGUGAUCGGCCACACUGGAACUGAGACACGGUCCAGACUCCUACGGGAGGCAGCAGUAGGGAAUCUUCCGCAAUGGGCGAAAGCCUGACGGAGCAACGCCGCGUGAGUGAUGAAGGUCUUCGGAUCGUAAAACUCUGUUAUUAGGGAAGAACAUAUGUGUAAGUAACUGUGCACAUCUUGACGGUACCUAAUCAGAAAGCCACGGCUAACUACGUA